Small nuclear RNA from Bombina bombina (fire-bellied toad), 115 nucleotides. RefSeq annotates it as U5 spliceosomal RNA. NCBI's taxonomy places the organism in Eukaryota, Metazoa, Chordata, Amphibia, Anura, Bombinatoridae. The record is from RefSeq and is a predicted model, not a curated record. The transcript has a single exon.
AUACUCUGAUUUCUCUUCAGAUCGAAUAAAGCUUUCACCUUUACUAAAGAUUUCCGUGGAGAGGAACAUCCAUGAGUUUAAAAAAAAUAAAAUAUUGUUUCUUGUUGUUGAGACU